Molecule: microRNA precursor, 154 nt
Filed under: Amborella trichopoda
Lineage: Eukaryota; Viridiplantae; Streptophyta; Magnoliopsida; Amborellales; Amborellaceae
Description: MIR8565 microRNA precursor family
Rfam family: MIR8565 microRNA precursor family
Source: Rfam by way of RNAcentral
CCUACACUCAUGUGUGUGAGACCCCAAAUGAUCACCAUUAAAUUUGAUACAGAUUUCUAAAAAAGUUAUCACAUGAGUGUGGGACUUAACUUUUCUAGAGAUCUGUGUCAAAUUUAAUAGUGAUCAUUUGGGGUUCUGCAUACAUGAGUGUGGG